CUUUCUCCAAGGAAAGAAAGAUUCUGACCGGUACCUUGAGGAUAAGCCACGGCUAAUUCCCGUGCCAGCAGCCGCGGUAUACGGGAGUGGCAAGCGUAUCCGGAAUUAUUAGGCGUAAGCGUCCGCAGGCGGCCCUUCCAAGUCUGCUGUUAAAACGUGGAGCUUAACUCCAUCAUGGCAGUGGAAACUGUUGGGCUUGAGUGUGGUAGGGGCAGAGGGAAUUCCCGGUGUAGCGGUGAAAUGCGUAGAUAUCGGGAAGAACACCAGUGGCGAAGGCGCUCUGCUGGGCCCAUAACUGACGCUCAUGGACGAAAGCCAGGGGAGCGAAAGGGAUUAGAUACCCCUGUAGUCCUGGCCGUAAACGAUGAACACUAGGUGUCGGGGGAAUCGACCCCCUCGGUGUCGUAGCCAACGCGUUAAGUGUUCCGCCUGGGGAGUACGCACGCAAGUGUGAAACUCAAAGGAAUUGACGGGGGCCCGCACAAGCGGUGGAGUAUGUGGUUUAAUUCGAUGCAACGCGAAGAACCUUACCAGGGUUUGACAUCCUGCGAAUCUCUUGGAAACGAGAGAGUGCCUUCGGGAACGCAGUGACAGGUGGUGCAUGGCUGUCGUCAGCUCGUGUCGUGAGAUGUUGGGUUAAGUCCCGCAACGAGCGCAACCCACGUCUUUAGUUGCCAGCAUUUAGUUGGGCACUCUAGAGAGACCGCCGGUGAUAAACCGGAGGAAGGUGUGGAUGACGUCAAGUCAUCAUGCCCCUUACAUCCUGGGCUACACACGUACUACAAUGCUACGGACAAAGGGCAGCAAGUUCGCGAGGACAAGCAAAUCCCAUAAACCGUGGCUCAGUUCAGAUCGUAGGCUGCAACUCGCCUACGUGAAGGAGGAAUCGCUAGUAAUCGCAGGUCAGCAUACUGCGGUGAAUACGUUCCCGGGCCUUGUACACACCGCCCGUCACACCAUGGAAGUUGGCCACGCCCGAAGCCGUUACUCCAACCC
Molecule: ribosomal RNA, 996 nt
Filed under: uncultured bacterium
Lineage: Bacteria
Description: bacterial SSU rRNA
Rfam family: Bacterial small subunit ribosomal RNA
Source: RNAcentral